Molecule: long non-coding RNA, 1002 nt
Filed under: Gallus gallus (chicken)
Lineage: Eukaryota; Metazoa; Chordata; Aves; Galliformes; Phasianidae
Description: lncRNA (ENSGALG00010012855.1)
Source: RNAcentral
CUUGAUUCUCCUUCAUCUGGCCCAAUCAAUAGAGGCAGAUGGAGAACCAGAAAAGAGAAGAAAAGGCUUCCUGCCAAAGGCUAAAACUGCCAAAUCCUCAUCCUUGUCUGGAAACACAGGCGGUAAGCACCUUUUCUGUAGAGAAGGACCAGAGAAGAAGAUGGAAAGACCUGGGAGUCCUGCACCUGGUACUGAGGUGAGAAGACAUCGCCAGGAGAAGGAAUAUGGAUAACAUAGAUGCCAAAACCUCCAUGUCAGAGCAGCAAGAUCUAUCUGUGGUAUUUGCAGUCACGUAAUUGCUUUUGCUGUUUUUCUGUAUUUUACAUUACAAAGGAGGUUCAAAAUAUAUCUGAAGUAGAAGUAUGUGCCAAACAUACAGCAGAAAAAUUCACUGAAAGAAAUAGAAAUAGAAAAAAACACGCAAACCACAGCAUGGGGCAAUCUUCCCAAGCAACAGCAGAAUCUAAUCAGGGUUGCCUAAUUUUUUUCCCACUCAAAACAAACGCUUUCAAAUUAGAAGGGUUUAAGACUGUAGGAAGGACAGACUAUUCACACCCCACCUCCUUAUUUUAAUAUUAUCUUUUUUUACACAACUUUGGAAACCUAGCAUGCCGACCUUGGUUAAUUCCUGUGAAUCAUACAAGCCUUAAUUGGUUUUGGAAGGGUCUCCAGAUCUCUCUAGAAAAGGUUAAGCAUUAUUUAUUUGCCUUCGUUACUAUCCAAACCUAUGUGAUUUCUGAACAGGUUUGACAUUCAAACUAAUUAAGGAUAAGCAAAAGAGGAAAAAAGCCUUUAUAUGAGUUCUAAACAAAAAUUUACAAAAGAAAGAAAUGUAAAGCAGUAAUGGCAAAAGCCAUAUAUUAUAUAACACCCCUGCACCAUUCUUCUUUAGUAUAGAAGAGCUGCAGAAUGCCUCUUGCUAGUUCCUGUGUUUAUGAGAUCCAAUCUGAAAGAGGGUAAGAGUUGUGUCGGUUCUUUUCUAGCUUUAAGGCACAUGGUAAC